UGAUUCAAGCUCGGCGCCUGAAGGUCGUUAAUGGAGAAGAAGAAGAAGAUCAUGAAGAAGAAGAGCAAUAAGGAUGUCAUGUGUUUGUCUGGACUUGGAUUAGAUGGGUCGGUCGAUGGGGUGUUGCAUUGUUUUGCUUUGACGCCUCGUGUCUUGUGAUGGGCGUGCUUGUAGUAUGAACUGCCAAGUGUUAUGUAGUUCCUUUCCGGUUGAAUUGUUAUUCCCUGUCGAGGACGAAACGGAGAUUUGGUUGCCCUCAUUUGGCCAUUGAGCUCAUGUCAUUGUUUGUUUUACCAGCUUGUUGUCGUGCC
This 311-nucleotide long non-coding RNA is filed under the name Triticum aestivum (bread wheat). RNAcentral describes it as "long non-coding RNA (TAES_LNC020084)". Lineage: Eukaryota; Viridiplantae; Streptophyta; Magnoliopsida; Poales; Poaceae. The record is from RNAcentral.